CCUUUUUUGGAGAAGCCUUCGGGUGGAAAUUAGGAAAGGUUAGUGGCGGACGGGUGAGUAACGCGUAGAUAAUCUACCUUAAAGACUGGGACAACAGUUGGAAACGACUGCUAAUACCGGAUACGCUGCACAUAGGGCAUCCUAGGUGCAGGAAAAGAGGCCUCUUAACAAUGCUCCUGCUUUUAGAUGAGUCUGCGUCUGAUUAGCUAGAUGGUGGGGUAAUGGCUUACCAUGGCGACGAUCAGUAGUCGGCCUGAGAGGGUGACCGGCCACAUUGGGACUGAGACACGGCCCAAACUCCUACGGGAGGCAGCAGUGGGGAAUCUUCCGCAAUGGGCGAAAGCCUGACGGAGCAACGCCGCGUGAUCGAAUGAAGGCCUUCGGGUUGUAAAGAUCUGUUGACAGGGACGAAUAAGCAAUGCGAAUAGUUUUGUGUAUGACGGUACCUGUUUAGAAAGCUCCGGCUAACUACGUGCCAGCAGCCGCGGUAAUACGUAGGGAGCAAGCGUUGUCCGGAAUUACUGGGCGUAAAGGGCGCGUAGGUGGGCGCUUAAGUCAGGUGUGAAAACUCCGGGCUCAACCUGGAGACUGCACUUGAAACUGGGUGUCUUGAGGGCAGGAGAGGAAAGUGGAAUUCCUAGUGUAGCGGUGAAAUGCGUAGAUAUUAGGAGGAACACCAGUGGCGAAGGCGACUUUCUGGACUGUACCUGACGCUGAGGCGCGAAAGCGUGGGUAGCGAACGGGAUUAGAUACCCCGGUAGUCCACGCCGUANACGAUGAAUACUAGGUGUAGGAGGNAUCGACUCCUUCUGUGCCGCAGCAAACGCAAUAAGUAUUCCGCCUGGGGACUACGGUCGCAAGACUAAAACUCAAAGGAAU
This 879-nucleotide ribosomal RNA is filed under the name uncultured bacterium. Its description in RNAcentral is "bacterial SSU rRNA". It matches the Rfam family "Bacterial small subunit ribosomal RNA", at positions 70 to 910 of the family's 1533-position model. The record is from RNAcentral.